AUAGUAGUAUACCUGAGUCAUCGAUGGGAGCUAGGCUCGAUGUCUCCUCCUUCCCGACUCUCUCCACUCUCCCCGACGCCGCCGCUUCCCGAAGACCGGCGGCGAGCUGCCAGCUGGGGAUGCGCCCUCUCUGCUGCCGGAGAAUCUGGAUCCGGCCGGCAUCGGCGACGGCGACGGCGAGGGCCGGGCGGCCAGAUCGACGGCGCCGUCGACGUGGGGUGGAGAGCAGGGGUACCAUUUGAAGUGCAAGUUACAAGUUGAGAGGGCCAUGGUUACAGAUGCAUGUCACCUCACCAUUGCAUGUGGAGGCUUGAUCUGCUAGGAACUUUGGCUGGCUGAAGAAACAAAAAAUAAUCUUAUUUGCUUUUACAUGCUCGUUUGUUACCGCAUGGAGCAAACUAUCUCAAAAUGUUCUUUUGUCCAAAAACUUUGCUUCGGCACAAGAUUUGUACAUGCUAUGUAAAGUAUUUUUGCAGGUAUUUGCCCUGUCAAGCUGAUGAUGUCUCAGUUGUCAAUGUGAACAAUCAAUACUUUUCAAUACAACACCGUUAGUCACGGCAAACAGUAUUUGUACAUGCAA
Molecule: long non-coding RNA, 580 nt
Organism: Oryza sativa Japonica Group (Japanese rice)
Lineage: Eukaryota; Viridiplantae; Streptophyta; Magnoliopsida; Poales; Poaceae
Source: RefSeq, a predicted model, not a curated record